UACGUAGGGCGCAAGCGUUUGUCCGGAAUUAUUGGGCGUAAAGAGCUCGUAGGCGGUCUGUUGCGUCGGCUGUGAAAACCCGGGGCUCAACUCCGGGCCUGCAGCCGAUACGGGCAGACUAGAGUUCGGCAGGGGAGACUGGAAUUCCUGGUGUAGCGGUGAAAUGCGCAGAUAUCAGGAGGAACACCGGUGGCGAAGGCGGGUCUCUGGGCCGAUACUGACGCUGAGGAGCGAAAGCGUGGGGAGCGAACAGG
This 254-nucleotide ribosomal RNA is filed under the name uncultured bacterium. RNAcentral describes it as "partial 16S ribosomal RNA". It matches the Rfam family "Bacterial small subunit ribosomal RNA", at positions 524 to 776 of the family's 1533-position model. The record is from RNAcentral.